GUCCACGCCCUAAACAUUGGAUACUAGGUACUGGGUUAAAUCGACCUUUCCCAGUGCCGUAAGCUAACGCGUUAAGUAUCCCGCCUGAGGACUACGAGCGCAAGCUUAAAACUCAAAGGAAUAGACGGGGACCCACACAAGCGGUGGAGCGUGUGGUUUAAUUCGACGGUAAACGAAGAACCUUACCUAGACUUGACAUCUUGCGAAUGCUCUGGAAACAGAGAGGUGCCCUUCGGGGAGCGCAAUGACAGGUGCUGCAUGGUUGUCGU
This 269-nucleotide ribosomal RNA is filed under the name uncultured bacterium. RNAcentral describes it as "partial 16S ribosomal RNA". It matches the Rfam family "Bacterial small subunit ribosomal RNA", at positions 793 to 1055 of the family's 1533-position model. The record is from RNAcentral.